AAGAUUGUGGGGUAGGGGAGCGUUCUGUAAGCCGUUGAAGGUGUGUUGUAAAGCAUGCUGGAGGUAUCAGAAGUGCGAAUGCUGACAUGAGUAACGAUAAUGGGGGUGAAAAACCCCCACGCCGGAAGACCAAGGGUUCCUGUCCAACGUUAAUCGGGGCAGGGUAAGUCGACCCCUAAGGCGAGGCUGAAAAGCGUAGUCGAUGGGAAACGGGUUAAUAUUCCCGUACUGCUUAUAAUUGCGAUGGGGGGACGGAGAAGGCUAGGUGGGCCUGGCGACGGUUGUCCAGGUUCAAGUGCGUAGGCUAAGAGACUAGGUAAAUCCGGUUUCUUGUUAGGCUGAGACACGACGUCGAGCACCUACGGGUGUGAAGUCAUUGAUGCCAUGCUUCCAGGAAAAGCCUCUAAGCUUCAGAUUAUAAGCAAUCGUACCCCAAACCGACACAGGUGGUCGGGUAGAGAAUACCAAGGCGCUUGAGAGAACUCGGGUGAAGGAACUAGGCAAAAUGGUACCGUAACUUCGGGAGAAGGUACGCUCUUGGCGGUGAAGUCCCUAGCGGAUGGAGCUACUGAGAGUCGCAGAUACCAGGUGGCUGCAACUGUUUAUUAAAAACACAGCACUGUGCAAAAUCGUAAGAUGACGUAUACGGUGUGACGCCUGCCCGGUGCCGGAAGGUUAAUUGAUGGGGUUAGACUUCGGUCGAAGCUCUUGAUCGAAGCCCCGGUAAACGGCGGCCGUAACUAUAACGGUCCUAAGGUAGCGAAAUUCCUUGUCGGGUAAGUUCCGACCUGCACGAAUGGCGUAAUGAUGGCCACGCUGUCUCCACCCGAGACUCAGUGAAAUUGAAAUCGCUGUGAAGAUGCAGUGUACCCGCGGCUAGACGGAAAGACCCCGUGAACCUUUACUACAGCUUGGCACUGAACAUUGAACCUACAUGUGUAGGAUAGGUGGGAGACUUAGAAGCGCAGUCGCUAGAUUGCGUGGAGUCGUCCUUGAAAUACCACCCUUGUAGUUUUGAUGUUCUAACGU
This 1029-nucleotide ribosomal RNA is filed under the name Vibrio aestuarianus. RNAcentral describes it as "partial 23S ribosomal RNA". It matches the Rfam family "Bacterial large subunit ribosomal RNA", at positions 1217 to 2228 of the family's 2925-position model. The record is from RNAcentral. Lineage: Bacteria; Pseudomonadati; Pseudomonadota; Gammaproteobacteria; Vibrionales; Vibrionaceae.